GUCCAUAUUUGCUGGAGGACUUGCCGGCCACCCAGGUCUAUGGAUGCAUCUACUUUUAAGUUAAAGAAAAUGACAAUUUCUUUCUUACAAGGCUCACAUUUAUAGUUGCUUUUUUCUAAGCUUCAAGCAAUCUAACCAAGGUUUUAUUUGUAAUUUUAUUCAACUUGUCUUAGACAUUAUAUUAUGAAGAAAAUAGAAGGCAGAAAAUUAAUAUUUGUUGAGAGUGUAGACUGGUGCCCUGGCAAAAUCGAAAAAAUUCAUAUAUAUAUAUGAACAUAUAAUCUGCCUCUCCAACAAGACCAAAGCAACCUGUGUUUUGUGCAAUGGAGUUGUGGACAAUUCCCAGAAAAUUUCUGGUGAUGGAUGCUGUGGUAGUAAUUGGUGUUUUGCUAUUUCUUUGUACAAGUGGAGUUGAUAGCAGAAUAAGUACUGAAUUGGAAUAUCUAGCUAUAAGUUGCAGAGCUCAUGAGGCAUCAUUGGUAGAUUUUGGAGGGGUUUGUGAUGGAGAAACUUCGAACACUAAAGUUUUUCAAGCAGCAAUUGAUCAUCUGAGCCAGUUCUCAUCAGAUGGUGGAUCCCAACUCUAUGUUCCCCCAGGAAGAUGGUUGACUGGAAGUUUCAAUCUCACUAGCCAUUUUACUCUCUAUCUUGACAAGGAUGCGGUUCUCCUUGCCUCUCAGGUCAGAAAAAGUUCUCAACAAAUGGUUUAAAGUUAGUUCAUGUCUUUUCAGCCUCUCAGGAUAAAAGUUGUUGCCUUCAAGACAUGAAGAAAGAAGUCUUUUUCUGUUCAUUAAUUUUUGCUUAGGAAGAUUGUAGUCGGGAUCUAAACUUCUGAAAAUCUGAAAAAUACUAGCAUCAUCAGUUCUUAACGAUCCAAUAUCCCCAUUUUCACUUUAGGUAACCCCAAGAAUUUCACUUCAGUGCUUGAAAUUUAAAUUACAGAACAGCCCAGUAUAAGUUGUGUGAUGGAGAAUUAGGUUCUGUUUAUGAUAUAGGGGCCAACCUCAAAGUCUAGUAUAGGCAGUGAUCAAUAGACAGAAAACUUCAGGCAUAAACGUUAUGGACCAGUAGUGAAAAGUGCAGCUUGAAAAGGUCUAAGUAACAGACAAAAGGAACAGUGCUCACGGGCUAAACAGUUGAAAUGUCAAGGACUGUAGGCCGCAAAAAUGUGUAUUCUACACUGCCCUUAAAUCAAGUAUGGAUCUCAUUUGAAAAUGACCUAAAAGAUAAAGAAAAGUAGUGGGUUUUAUUAAUUGACAUUCUGGUAUUGCAAUAUAAAGGAAAGUUUCCCAAUUUACAGUGGAGAAUAUGCCAUUGCAACUGCUAACAUUUCUUGAUUAUAAAGUAAUGAUAAAAAUAAUACCUAAUUAUGUGAUUACACGUCCUGUAUUUUGGAAAUUCGAUUAGGAUGAGAGUGAAUGGCCUGUGAUUGAACCACUGCCGUCCUACGGUAGAGGAAGGGAUGCAGACGGUGGAAGGUAUAGCAGUCUCAUUUUCGGAACCAACCUUACUGAUGUUGUAAUAACAGGUAUAAUCUCCUAGUAAAUUUAAUUGGACUGUCAAAAAUAUCAAGAAAUGAAUUACGUAGUCUUAUUUAAUUGGGACAUUAUGGCUUUAAGGUGCCAAUGCCACAAUUGAUGGUCAGGGCGAUCUCUGGUGGAAAAAAUUCCGCAAUGGAGAAUUGAAAUACACCAGGCCUUACCUGAUAGAAAUCAUGUAUUCCAAUAGCAUUCAGAUAUCCAACCUUACAUUGGUGAACUCUCCUUCAUGGAAUGUUCACCCUGUUUAUAGCAGGUACCUUUAUUGUCCCUACUGUACUAUGCUUCAUUCUUUUGGAUUUGUUCUGAUCAAAUGGAUAUUGAAUGCAGCAAUGUUUUUGCACAAGGCUUAACAAUUCUUGCACCAGUGACUUCUCCAAAUACUGAUGGGAUCAAUCCAGGUGAAUGUUAUUCUCAAUUCUCAAAACAGUUUUUCAUUCUUGCAGCUGUGUUUGUUUUGCUUUCAACCAAUGCCAAUGUUGUGAAAAUUUGUUAACUUACACUUAAUGGGUUGAUUAUGGAUUCUGCAACUUCUGCAGACUCGUGCACAAACACCAGAAUUGAGGACUGUUACAUUGUCUCUGGAGAUGAUUGUGUGGCUGUUAAGAGCGGCUGGGAUGAGUAUGGUAUUGCGUUUGGGAUGCCUACCAAGCAGCUUGUAAUCAGAAGGCUCACUUGCAUUUCUCCAUUCAGUGCAGCAAUUGCACUGGGAAGUGAGAUGUCAGGGGGCAUUCAAGAUGUCAGGGCAGAAGAUAUCACAGCUAUUGAUACAGAAUCAGGUGUUAGGAUCAAAACUUCUGUGGGAAGAGGAGGUUAUGUAAAGGAGAUAUAUGUGAGAAGGAUGACAAUGAAAACAAUGAAAUGGGUGUUUUGGAUGACAGGAAAUUAUGGCUCUCAUCCUGACAAUAACUAUGAUCCUAAUGCAAUUCCUGAGAUUAAAAAUAUCAACUAUCAUGACAUGGUUGCCGAGAAUGUAACAAUGGCAGCUAGACUGGAGGGCAUUGCUGGUGACCCGUUCACUGGAAUCUGCAUAUCUAAUGUCACCAUUGGGCUCACACAAAAACCAAAGAAGCUUCAAUGGAAUUGCACUGAAAUUGCAGGGAUUUCGAGUGGUGUGACACCAAAACCAUGUGAUCUGCUCCCAGACCAGGGGCCAGGGGACAUUGCAUCGUGCAAUUUUCCUGAAGAUAGCCUGCCAAUAGAGAGUAUUGAGGUAAAGAUGUGCUCUUCCAGUAGAAGGAAUUUGUGACUGGGAACUAAGUUUCUGUACAGGGCAACAUAUUCUCUGUAUGUACUAUUAACAAUUUAGUGUGAACUUAGUCCACACAGUAUACGAGACCAUUACAAUGAUCUCAAGAUAUACCCACAAAUCUCCAUUAGAAUAAAGAAAGAUAGUUGCUUAGUUCACAACAUUAAAACAUAUGGAAAACUAUAAUCAAGCACGAAGGUUAGAUUGUUUUUCUUUGGAAUAUCUCUAUCAUCGCAUAUGAGAUUGUUGUUUGAGUUCCCCAAAUUCUUAACAGCCAAUUUUCCCAAAAACCAGCAAUGCAUCUCCAUUUUCCAUAAUAUACUUCCGAUGGAUACUCUCUCACUUAAAAAAAAAAAAGUGAGUUCUGAGUGAAUCCUACAUAGUUAUCAAUGAGAACUAGGUUUUUGUUCAGCGGCACUGAAUUCAUCUCCAAGGAUUGGAAUUCUAAUCGAAGG
RNAcentral lists this unclassified non-coding RNA (3242 nucleotides) under Hevea brasiliensis (rubber tree). The record is from RNAcentral. Lineage: Eukaryota; Viridiplantae; Streptophyta; Magnoliopsida; Malpighiales; Euphorbiaceae.